AUGGGGUGGGGGGACCCAGGAGCCCCCAGCCCCGCUGCCCCCCUCUCUGUGAAGCCAGGUGGGAGCAGGCGGCUCCCCUCCAUGCCGCUGAGUCACGCCGUGUCUCUGCUCCUCUUCACCCCCGUGGGGACAAAGCCAAGCCCGCAGCUUGGCUGGGCUCCCUGCUGCACCAGGUGGCACCACCAGCUGCCCCGUUCCUUCCACAGGAGACGAAGGACUGGGGGGGGGAGGAAGCGGGGGCAUUCGAUGUUUGUCAGCAGCGCUGCCGGCGCGGGGGCCUGCGGUUUCGCAGUGAUAUCAUGUGUGGCAAGAGGGCCACGGCUUGGCGGCUGGACGCCUCCAUCGUCCCCGCCUCCUGCCUCCAGCUGUGCCCUUGUUGCGCAAGGGGCCGUGAGCCCAGUAGGGCCUGGAAAUGGGUCUAGUGCAUGGGGCAGAGCCUGCACUUGUGCCCGUUUAGUUCUGCUCCAUCACUGGCCCAGGCGGAUGAGAGAGACAGCAAAGGCGUGCCACCCCCCUGGUGCCCUGAGGGCAGGCAGCGCCCUUCCUUUGUGCACUUCGAAUGAGGGCACACGUACACGUGGCAGCAGCCCAGGAUGUCCCGACACAGCCCCUUGCAGGGAAGGGCUGGCUGCUUCCAUCCUUUAUCUGCCGUCCAUGACUACCAAGCAGAGAGGAGCGCUCACCUCACCACCAUCCCACGACCCUCCGUGGUGCCUCACGGGCUUCCUCAAAGGGCAGAUUUUUCCCCUGCGCUCUCAUUCCCUGGGGUUGUGUAGCAGCAGGCCCAGCCCGGUGUCCCAGCUUGCUUUCCCACAGCGCAGCAUUAUCUCACCAUCUUCCCCCGGGCAGUUACGGGUGGCUGCUACCAACAUUCGAGGCAGGAACGUGUUGCGGCACCUCGGCCGAGGCGAGCGCGCCGCGUGGCUCAUCAGCUUACGAAGGCUUUGGCUCCUCCGCCGCUUGUGGUUUCGGCGAGGAGCAAAGGCCCGCCCUGCGCUCGUUUACCUCAGCGUUAAUCAGGAGUGA
Molecule: long non-coding RNA, 1026 nt
Filed under: Anser brachyrhynchus (Pink-footed goose)
Lineage: Eukaryota; Metazoa; Chordata; Aves; Anseriformes; Anatidae
Description: lncRNA (ENSABRG00000006937.1)
Source: RNAcentral